AAAAAUUAAAAAAAAGAUUGCUUAAGGCCUGUCUGCCUCUCUUUCAAAGGGGAAAUCCCUCAGCUUCUUUAAAUAAAUUCAAUCCUGCCAACUAGAGAUGAGGGUUGAUUAGAUGAGAUUGGGGGAAGAAGCCCUCCUUCUCAAUGAGUGGUCCAGAAACCAGCAGCAUGGGCACCCCAUGGGAGUGGUCAGAAAUGCCGACACCGAGGGCCCUGAACUGCUGAGUCAGGCUCUUCUAAUGAUCCCUAAGUGGUCUGCACACACAUCAUGCCUUGGAGAAGCCCUGCUGUGAGGCACCCACGCAGAUCCAGACACUCACUGACCAUGGUGGGAGGUGGCACCUAUUUUAUUUUUAUGAUGAGAGGGAACCUCAAACUCUACUGUGAUGUAAGUGGUCUCAAAGGCCCUUUGAAGUCACCAUUUUAUCUAAAUCAGAAAUAGGAAAAAAAUAAGAAAUGGCCAGCUUAGAAAGACUCAAAUUCUUUUGCGGGGGGAAAAACCAGGAAGAAAGAAAAGAAAAAUACAUUGUUUCCUUGGCCAUCUGUGUGAAGAAAUAACAAAACCACCGUUGACAUACCAGCAGGAAAGAACACUGGAGAGCUUCACUUGACAGAAUUAUUACAAACGCCUCUUCCUGGUUCAGGGGGAAAAAAAAUUCCAAAUAGGUUUGUGAUAUUUUUUUCCCUAGCAUGCUUGCAACUCCCAGUAGAGCCAAUAACCAGUUUUCAAAACCUUUUGAUUCUACUCAUCCCCUGGUUAAUAAUUUCCAGUUUACCCAGCAGGCUACGUAACAUCCCCUUUCCUGGGAAAGAAUUUCUGUGCCCCGGCUGGCAGUGAACUGGUCCCCUUAGCAGCUGACCUCCUCCUCCAGCCCUGUGGCUGCCUCCUCUCCAACAGGGACCCUCCUGAUGCACAGACUUACUCUUGGAGAGGCUCCUCCCAAAAGUCACCCAGCUGAUUUUCAUCCACUUGGCUCCCCAAGUUGCUGCUCGACCGCUCUCUGACCUGGAUUCACUGAGGACACAUCAGGCCUUUGCCACGGGCUCCAUGGAGUGGCCGGAGCCCAGGGCUGGAGGAACUCAUGCACAUGUGUCCUGGAGACCUGCAAGAGGACAGCACCAUGGAGAUGACCAGCAACUAAUACCACCCAAAGGUCCACCAACAGGAGAAUGGAUACCCCAGCAGGGGUGCAUGCAUGCAACGGAACACACCACGUACUGGUGAGAGUGAAUCAAUGUCGGUCACACGCAUCAACGCCGAUGAGGCUGAGACUCGUAAUAUCAAAUUUAGAAUUGCAAGUAGCAGAAGGAUCAAAGUUAUAUUUGUAAUAAAGCUUAAACACAAGCAAAUCGAGCACUGUAUUGUUUAGGCACACAUUCACAUUUGGUAAAGACAUAAAGCAAAGCAAGGGAACGAGACAAAAAUGAAAUCCCAGAGUAAUCAGGUGGUCAGGUCUUGGGGGGUGGCGUGGAGUUGGGGAAGGGCAUCAGAGUGGAUCUCACCUCAGCUCCGACUGCUUUGGGAAGUUCUAGUUCUGACAUGGAGUGGUGGGUUCACAGCUGUUUGAUUGCUUGUUAUGCUUUAUAACAAUAUAAACUGCAUAUGUUCAGUUGAAAUAUUUCAUAAUAAAGGUUUUUUAAAAAAGAACAUUGGGCUCAUCUUUCCCAUCAGAUACAGGCAUUUUUGUUUUGAAUUUCUAUUUCCUUUUUUUAAUGAGCAAGGAUCGUUUGCCUCUGAAAAUAUAAAUUAAAAAAAAAAAUAAGGCUGGGCACAGUGGCUCACGCCUGUCAUCCUAGUACUUUGGGAGGCCGAGGUGGGUGGAUCACUUGAAGUCAGGAGUUCGAGACCAGCCUGGGCAACAUGGUGAAACCCCAUCUCUACCAAAAAUAUAAAAAAUUAGCCAGGCGUGGAGGCGUGCGUCUGUAAUCCCAGCUACUUGGGAGGCUGAGGCAGGAGAAUCGCUUGAACCCGGGGGGCAGAGGUUGCACGAGCCGACAUUGUGUCACUGCACUCCAGCCUGGGUGACAGAGCGAGACUCCAUCUCAAAAAUAAAUAAAUUAUUUAAAUAUUUUUUUAGAAAAAGCACUGGAUUUGCAGUUGGGAGCACAAGACUUGGGGUUGCCCCUUCCCACAACCACUGUCAUUGCUGGGACCUCUGCAGCCAUCUCCUCCCGGCCUCCAUCCUCACCCACUCCAUUUCAGUCUCUGUUUGGCCCCCAGCUGAGUUAUCUUUGUAACCAUAAAUGGCAUUCGCUCAUUUUACUGCUUCCUGAAGUCCAAGCCUGUUCUUUUCAACCAUGUUUCUCCCUGUUCCUCUUCACCAUUUGUAUGUAGCCAGAUGUAGAGUUCAUGGAACCAAAAACCUGCCUUCUGCUUCUGUGUCUUUGCUCAAGCUGUACCUGGGAAAAUAAGUCAUCAGGUCUGAGCACCAGCGUCUGGGUCUCAGUGCUCAGCAUGCAAAAGAGACUGGGUUUAGGCUCUGUCACUCACCAUGAAUUCUACACGGAAUGACUUUUCUGUCCCUAAGUGAUCCUUCCAGGCUCAUUUCAGGCAACACCUCUUCCAGGAAGCCUUCCCUGAUAUCCAGCCUUUAUUCUCACAGCUCCUCUGGUAAUCCCUAUCAAAGUACCCUGAGAUUUCCACAGUACUUUGGAAUUUUCUGUGUAUGUGCCUCCUCCACUAGACUACCUACUCCCCAAAGGCAAAAACUGGGUCUUAUUUUGUUUGUCUCAAUAGCAACUGUACCAGCCGUGGCAUGGUGGCACUCAAAUGGUAACGCCCUGAGGGAAAGGUUUUGCCUGUUUUGCUCAUCUAUGUAUUCUAAGUGCCUAGAACACUGCCUGGCAUAUGGUAGCUGUGCUGCAAAUGGUUAUCGAGUGAAUGAAUAAAUGUUAACCUGUACUGAGUACUGAGUAAAGUUCUAUUGCUUGGAAGCUGUGUGAGCUUUGGUGAGACACUUAACGUCUCUGAGCCUCCCUUUCUCCCUCUGUCAAUGGGGAGAUUAAUAGUACUAUUCUUGAAGGAUCACCAUGAGAUUUGGCAGAAAGAUGCAUGUGACAGAGCCUAGAAAAUGGCAGGUGCACAGCCCGCGCUGCUUCAUAUGGAUUUAACCCUGGCCCCAGUGGCCUCAGGCAAAUUCCCAGUGGCUCUGAGGUUGUCCAUCUGAGCUCAGAGUCCCCGCUCAGCCUCCCUGGGUGGUCCAUGGGAAAAGGGGGUCGCAGGUCUGUGCUCCUCCUCCUUAGCCACGGGCCAGUGACCCCUAGGGUCACCUCUGACUGCUGGGUCCGUGGAUCUAUUGUGCAGGGCCUGUUGGUGGCUGGGCAGCCUCACUGAGUCUCCAGAGCCCAGCUGGUCAGUGCAGCCAAGGUCAUGGUCCUCAUUCCUUGAAUGGCUCUUUCUUUAAAUUGACGCAAACUCUUCUUCAGCAGCCACAGGUAGCUCCUAACGCAGCCAGCUGUCUGAGCACUCUCUUAGGUCCCUUUGGGUCCUAAAAUGC
RNAcentral lists this long non-coding RNA (3496 nucleotides) under Homo sapiens (human). RNAcentral describes it as "HSALNT0098039". Lineage: Eukaryota; Metazoa; Chordata; Mammalia; Primates; Hominidae. The record is from RNAcentral.